AGAGUUUGAUCAUGGCUCAGGAUGAACGCUAGCUACAGGCUUAACACAUGCAAGUCGAGGGAAACGACAUCGAAAGCUUGCUUUUGAUGGGCGUCGACCGGCGCACGGGUGAGUAACGCGUAUCCAACCUGCCCACACUUGGGGAUAACCUUGCGAAAGUAAGACUAAUACCCAAUGACGUCUCUAGAAGACAUCUGAAGGAGAUUAAAGAUUUAUCGGUGAUGGAUGGGGAUGCGUCUGAUUAGCUUGUUGGCGGGGUAACGGCCCACAAGGCGACGAUCAGUAGGGGUUCUGAGAGGAAGGUCCCCCANAUUGGAACUGAGACACGGUCCAAACUCCUACGGGAGGCA
This 350-nucleotide ribosomal RNA is filed under the name uncultured bacterium. RNAcentral's name for it is "bacterial SSU rRNA". It matches the Rfam family "Bacterial small subunit ribosomal RNA", at positions 8 to 350 of the family's 1533-position model. The record is from RNAcentral.